UCAACCCUCACGCCCGGCUUGGUGUUGGACUCUGGUGCCGCCCUGGUGCGGACACCGGUCCCAAAGACAAUGACGGCGUCUGUUGGACCCUCGGUACAAUGAGCUUUUCCAAAGCACGUACCGAGUUGCAAGGUCCUUCAGCCCGGCCUCAACCCCAUAUUUUUACAA
Molecule: unclassified non-coding RNA, 168 nt
Filed under: uncultured Ascomycota
Lineage: Eukaryota; Fungi; Ascomycota
Description: sequence contains ITS2
Source: RNAcentral